GAGAAUACAUCCAUUUGUGUAAGAACUUGAGUUGUGUAAAAAUGACUGGUGCCCAACUCCUUCACUGGGUGGUCGAAUAUAACGAGUGGAAAGGACAUAUGCCAGAGGCUUUUCAGUGCUAUGUGACCGGACCAUGUGUCAUGUACAUCAGCAGCUGUGAAAUCUGUGGUUUCAAAGAAGUCCCAAACUUCCUGCGCCCAGUGAAGUCCCUGCUUGUUACCUGAAAGAGAGUGUGCCUAAAGUGAUACACAGCCUGAGAAAUAGCCAACUAACAGAUCAAAGUCCUUCAGCAGAAAAGUUACUGUUCCUGAUGUCCUGUUGUAUCAUUUCUCCUUAUAAGAGUGCUUGUAAUUCUCUUGCUAAAAUGGUAGCUGGGAUAAAAGCCAGGGACAUCGCCCUAGGCUAUGUUUUCAAUAUAAUUUGAAAGGGGGAAGAAAUGGGGAUCAUAAUUAGAAAAAGUAAUGUUGUGAACUUUUGUGUGAGGUCUUGUUGAAAGUGUUGUUUUGAAAGUAGGGUGGUAGUCAAAUUCUAUGAGAGGAUCAGUCAAUAAAAGAAAAUCUUUAAAUCA
Molecule: long non-coding RNA, 568 nt
Filed under: Apteryx owenii (little spotted kiwi)
Lineage: Eukaryota; Metazoa; Chordata; Aves; Apterygiformes; Apterygidae
Description: lncRNA (ENSAOWG00000019066.1)
Source: RNAcentral